RNAcentral lists this long non-coding RNA (945 nucleotides) under Theobroma cacao (cacao). RNAcentral describes it as "long non-coding RNA (TCAC_LNC002157)". Lineage: Eukaryota; Viridiplantae; Streptophyta; Magnoliopsida; Malvales; Malvaceae. The record is from RNAcentral.
UUGGGGUGUUCCUUGCUGUACUGCUUAUUCUUCCUCUAUCACUGCUUUCUCCAUUCCCAGCUGGCUUGAAUGCCUUGUUCAGUAAAGAGCCUCGGAGAGCUUCGCUUGCUCGUAUAUAUUCCCUGUGGAAUGCUACAUCUCUGUCAAAUAUCGUAAGUAGCUUUAAAUUCUGGGUACCUUUUGAGCAAGAUAGUUACUCCACUAUUGACAUUAGCAUGAAUCAGCUAUAAUGCUUUUGGAUUUUCUGUUACUUCUUUGUUCUGUGAAAUGUAGUGAUGCAAUGACUGAAAUGUAGUGUUAUGCCAACCUAAUACUUCAUGCUUAUGGUGUAGUCACCUAAAAUUUCAUCAAGAUAUAUGUUUUCUAUGAAGCACUACACAAUUUAGAGGAAUAAUUUUAGAUAAAGGUAGAUUUGUCUCCUCCGGUAGGCUUUUCUUAAAAUGAUUUGCUGUAGCAAUAUAGCCAAAGGGAUGAAUUUUGCAAUUUGUGUUAUUCAUAAAGCAUUGAAUCUCAUAUUACAUGUGAAUAAGACAUCAAUAAUUGAUUUAGACCUGUAACUAUAUGUGCCAGUGUCAUGUGCCUAGUUUUAUUUUUGCAGGCUGUGGCUUGCAUCUGUGGCAUUAUUCAUUAUGGAGUCUCUUCUUUCCAGCCGCCUGACAAGGAAAAUACUUGGAACUCUAGAAGGUGAGGAUUUUAAUGCUUAUUGGUCUGAUGGAAACUCUUGGAAGCUUCUCUAAAUUUUGGGGUGAUUAAAAAAAUGCAAUUUUUUAGUAGCUUGCAUCUAUGGUGUUGAACAUUAUACCUGAAUAUAGCUCAUGCAGUGUUAGCGGAACGGCAACUGUUAGGGAACUCUUUAUCAGGUCCAUUACCAAGGCUGGAGUAGAAAAUUUGUCAAGUUAGUUUUUGGGGCUGUCACGUUCGCAGAGUACUUGCUUCUUCCUUAAG